AGCGAACGUUAGCGGCGGGCUUAACACAUGCAAGUCGAGCGAGAAAGGGCUUCGGCCCUUAGUAAAGCGGCGGACGGGUGAGUAACACGUAGGUAAUCUUCCCUUGAGCGGGGGAAAACAGGCCGAAAGGCCUGCUAAUACCGCAUACGUUUCCCGGGACUCCGGUUCUGGGAAGGAAGCUAGGCCGCAAGGUCCGGCACUCGAGGAGGAGCCUGCGUCGCAUCAGCUAGUUGGUGGGGUAACGGCCUACCAAGGCGAAGACGCGUAGCUGGUCUGAGAGGAUGAUCAGCCACACUGGGACUGAGACACGGCCCAGACUCCUACGGGAGGCAG
Molecule: ribosomal RNA, 333 nt
Filed under: uncultured Pseudomonadota bacterium
Lineage: Bacteria; Pseudomonadati; Pseudomonadota
Description: bacterial SSU rRNA
Rfam family: Bacterial small subunit ribosomal RNA
Source: RNAcentral